UACGUACCGGACAAACGUUAUUCGGAAUCACUGGGCUUAAAGAGUGCGUAGGCGGCCUUGAAGGUGGGGUGUGAAAUCCACGGCUUAACCGUGGAACUGCGCUCCAAACCGCAAGGCUUGAGGGAGACAGAGGUGAGCGGAACUGAUGGUGGAGCGGUGAAAUGCGUUGAUAUCAUCAGGAACACCCGUGGCGAAGGCGGCUCACUGGGUCUCUUCUGACGCUGAGGCACGAAAGCUAGGGGAGCGAACG
RNAcentral lists this ribosomal RNA (250 nucleotides) under uncultured bacterium. RNAcentral's name for it is "partial 16S ribosomal RNA". It matches the Rfam family "Bacterial small subunit ribosomal RNA", at positions 524 to 774 of the family's 1533-position model. The record is from RNAcentral.